AGAGUUUGAUCCUGGCUCAGGAUGAACGCUAGCGGCAGGCUUAACACAUGCAAGUCGAGGGGCAGCGGGGAGUAGCAAUACUCUGCCGGCGACCGGCAAAAGGGUGCGUAACGCGUGAGCAACUUGCCCGUAUCUGGGGGAUAACCGAUGGAAACGUCGCCUAAUACCCCGUAACAAGGGUUCCUGCAUGGGAGUCCUUUGAUAGCUCCGGCGGAUACGGAUGGGCUCGCGUGACAUUAGCUAGAUGGCGGGGUAACGGCCCACCAUGGCGACGAUGUCUAGGGGCUCUGAGAGGAAGAUCCCCCACACUGGAACUGAGACACGGUCCAGACUCCUACGGGAGGCAGCAGUGAGGAAUAUUGGACAAUGGAGGCAACUCUGAUCCAGCCAUGCCGCGUGAAGGACUAAGGCCCUACGGGUCGUAAACUUCUUUUGACGCAGGGCAAUAAGGCGUACGUGUACGCCGAUGAGAGUAUGCGUCGAAUAAGCAUCGGCUAACUCCGUGCCAGCAGCCGCGGUAAUACGGAGGAUGCAAGCGUUAUCCGGAUUUAUUGGGUUUAAAGGGUGCGUAGGCGGAUGAUUAAGUCAGUGGUGAAAGGUCCCGGCUCAACCGGGGAGCUGCCAUUGAUACUGGUCGUCUUGAAUGCGGAUGCCGUGGGAGGAAUGUGUGGUGUAGCGGUGAAAUGCAUAGAUAUCACACAGAACACCGAUUGCGAAGGCAUCUCACGAAUCCGUUAUUGACGCUGAGGCACGAAAGCGUGGGGAUCAAACAGGAUUAGAUACCCUGGUAGUCCCGACCUUAAACGGUGCACACUCGGGGUGGGGCCCUUUCAUCGGCCCCGUCCCUCAGCUAACGCGUUAAGUGUGCCGCCUGGGGAGUACGGCCGCAAGGCUAAAACUCAAAGAAAUUGACGGGGGCCCGCACAAGCAGAGGAGCAUGUGGCUUAAUUCGAUGCAACGCGAAGAACCUUACCUGGAUUUGACAUCGUCGGCAAUGCCCUGUGAAAGCAGGGCGGAGGUUAUCCGAUAGACAGGUGCUGCAUGGCUGUCGUCAGUUCGUGCCGUGAGGUGUUUGGUUAAGUCCACCAACGAACGCAACCCCUUUGACGUGUUGCCAGCGGGUAAUGCCGGGAACUCGCGUCACACUGCCUGUUUACGCAGGAGGAAGGUGGGGAUGACGUCAAGUCAGUAUGGCCCUUACAUCCAGGGCUGCACACGUGCUACAAUGGCCGGUACAGAGGGACGCGAGACCGCAAGGUGGAGCCAAUCCCAGAGAGCCGGCCCCAGUUCAGAUCGGGGUCUGCAACCCGACCCCGUGAAGUCGGAUUUGCUAGUAACGGCGUAUCAGCUACGACGCCGUGAAUGCGUUCCCGGGCCUUGCACUCACCGCCCGUCAAG
Molecule: ribosomal RNA, 1398 nt
Filed under: uncultured bacterium
Lineage: Bacteria
Description: partial 16S ribosomal RNA
Rfam family: Bacterial small subunit ribosomal RNA
Source: RNAcentral